UCGGCUUUCUCCUACCUCGUGCUAGGAGCCAUUCAUCCAGCGUGACCUUCUCUCUGCACUUAGGCAUGCCUGCUCCCACCCCCCCUUUUGUGGCUACAAUAGGGAUGGUUUUCUGCCCUGCUACAAUUUUAGUUUUUUCUUUUCAUUGAUUGGUUGGUUGAUUGAUAAAAUGUCCGUGCGGUGUCUGGUUUAGUGUGGAGAAAUCUUCACAAAAAUACAUAUGUAUUGUAUUCUUUGAUGUUGCUAUUUCAUGCCCUCUAACUGUUUGUUAGUAUGCCUACAAGAACUAAGCAUCUUUUUUAUGUUUCUAUUCUAUAUCUUGAUCCAGUUAGGACUUUUUUGUGUGUACAGGACAACCCCAAUGAUCAUUCACCCAUUCCAUGUGUCGUGCUUAUCUUGAAAAACGGAUGUGCCAUAUAACUAAGUUGCUGGAGUGUACAAAUAUGGCAUGGUUGCCACUUCGGCAGAUUGUUCACUAGGUAUUGGAUUGAGAAGGUACGGGCUAGAUGAAAAUAUACAUUGCAUUAUUUGUUACUCAUUUUAUAAAACUAUUUAAUUUAUUCCAUUUAGAUGAAGGUAGCUUCAGCUUAUAGACAACCUUUUCUGAACAAAUAACAGAUGGUCUGAUUUGCUCUACUUCUCCAGGUUUCCUUGUGCUACUUGCAGUUUUUAUUCUCUGUGAUGAUGAUUAGCAUUCGGUCCAUAACUAAAUAAUCUCUAUUUAAUUAUGCUAACAUGUCACAAUUUCAUUCCUCUCUCCACUCAUUCUUUAGCGCCUUGAGGCCACUAGCGUUGCUUGCUAAGGAGAAACAUGCCUUUGGAUAAAAUUAUUUAAAAUUUACCAUGUUCUUCUAGGUUAAUUUUAAAACAUUUUUCAUGUAUUUCCACUUCUAAAGGGUGUUGCUAGUUUUUCUAUUUGAGUACUGGUUUGUUGCAGGGCAAAGCAUUUCAAAAGAAGCGUCAACCAUUGACUAGCAAUUUUGAUGCACCGAUUACCCUAAGAAGGCAAGCUAUUGAUCAUGUAGUUCAAAGAAAAAAUUGAGUCAAUUUUUAAAAGCUUCUUAUCACAGUUGUUUCACAUGUUUCCUAGCAUGAUGGAAGAUGAUAUGGUGAAUAACAUGAAUUACCUUGUGCUCGAUGAUGACCCACAAGUAUAGGGGAUCGAUCGUAGUCCUUUCGGUAAGUAAGAGUGUCGAACCCAACGAGGAGCAGAAGGCUCUGAUAAACGGAUUUCAGCAAGGUAAUAACUGCAAGCAUUGAAAGUAGCGGUAACAAGUGAUUGUGUAGCGAGGUGAAACGUAGCGAAUAAAAAGUAACAAGUAACAAGUAGUAGCAACGGUGCAGCAAGUGGCACAAUCCCUUUUGUAGCAAGGAACAAGUCUGAACAAAGUCUUAUAGGAGAAAAAACGCUUCGAGGACACACGGGAAUUUCUGUCAUGCUAGUUUCAUCAUGUUCAUAUGAUUCGCGUUCGUUAUUUUGAUAGUUUGAUAUGUGGGUGGACCGGCGCUUGGGUACUGUCCUUACUUGGACAAGCAUCCCACUUAUGAUUAACCUAUCUCGCAAGCAUCCGCAACUACAAAAGAAGAAUUAAGGCAAAGUCUAACCAUAUCAUUAAA
This 1617-nucleotide long non-coding RNA is filed under the name Hordeum vulgare. RNAcentral describes it as "long non-coding RNA (HVUL_LNC018130)". The record is from RNAcentral. Lineage: Eukaryota; Viridiplantae; Streptophyta; Magnoliopsida; Poales; Poaceae.